Non-coding RNA from Myodes glareolus (Bank vole), 2350 nucleotides. The record is from RefSeq and is a predicted model, not a curated record. Lineage: Eukaryota; Metazoa; Chordata; Mammalia; Rodentia; Cricetidae.
CCAUAAAGCAUAAAAAUCUCCUUUUUCUCUGGGUAUAUAAUAGUAUUAAACAUGACAUUAAGCCUUGUGAUUCUUUUCAAGGUAGAAUUUUGCAUGGCCUGAAUUGAGGUCCCAUCCCCCACCUCUCCUAGUAACAUAGCUAAAAAGUCUUUCCCAUCCUGAAGCAAAUUGGCAUUUUCAUUCACGGGAAACCAGCUGAACAUUUAUAUAGGGAUUGAUUUCUGAUUUUUGUAUUCUGUUCUAACAUCACAUUCUCUUUGUUUCUGUAGCUUUAGAACAAGCCUUGAAACCAAGAAUGUGAGUUAUACAACUUUGAAUUUAUUGACUCUUUGGGUUCUUGUUCCCUUUAAAUUAAUUUUAGAAUUAGACUUCAGAAGGAAAACUAGUGGUUGAGAUUCGGGUUGGGUUUAUGUUGAACCUACAGGUCAAUUUAGAGAGAUAGACUCUUCUGUUGAGUCUGUUAUCAAUGUACUUGCUAGUUCCACAUUAUUAGACAUUUUAAUUUUCUGUAGAUUUUUGAAUACAUAUUUCAUUUAUUGCUCUUUUGUGCUGUUAACAUUGAAUCUAAAAUUUUCAGUUUUUAGUUAUUUAUUGUUAAUAUGUGGAAAUACAGUAAUUUUAUCUUUAUAUUUGAGAUUAUAAUGUGAUUGUAUCAUUUUCCCCUUUUCUUUCUCUAGCUCUCCCAUAUAUCCCUUCUUGCUCUCUUGCAGGUUUGUGGCCUCUUUUUUGCAUUAAUUGUUGCUACAUCUGGUUUUGGUUUUGAAGGAUGAGGCCCAUCAAGAAUAUCCAAUGAGAGUCAGUGGUCAAGGAAGACUGUGGGUGGGGGACCACAAUAAUUACAUAAGAAACAGGCUUUAUUAAAAGCUGGAACAAACCAAAUGAAGGAUGUGACUUGAAAAAGCUGGGAAAUGCGUGUAUCUGGCUCUGCAGAGAUAAAGAACCAACAGAACGUAAUAUAUAGAUGGUGAUUUGUUUUGAGGGAUUGGCUCAUAGGCUUCUGGAACUGGCAAGCCCUAAAUCUGUGUGGCUGGCAAUUCACUUGAUGUAGCUGGCUUGAGUUGAGAUCUACAGGGAAAGCCAGGGGAAUGGAGAUGCAAGCAGGAUCCCUGUGUUACAGUCUGGAGGCAGAAUUUCUUCCUAUUCAGAUUUGUCUUUUGGCUUAUCCCCUUCAGUCAACUGCAUGAGGAUCGCCCACAUUAAAGUCAUCUGCUUUACCUAAAGUCAGAUGAUUAUGCUAACAACUUGGAAUAAUAUGCCUUCCAUAACAUCUAGUGUCUGAACAAAAAUGGGAUAGCAACGAGCCACACCAACAUGUAAAAUUAACCACUGGAAUUUGAAAGCUGAAAUAGUCAAAUCUAUUGUGGUCUUGAUAGUGUUUAUUAUCAAUUGAGUAAAUACAUACCUGUUCUUGGAUGAAUAAAUACUGAAGGUAAAUGAUGUUCUCUAUGUUGUAAAAUUUCAUGUAUCAUCUGUCUGUCUCUCUCUGUCUUUCACUUGUCUAUUUAUAAAACUUCAUGCAUGAAUAUGAUAGUGGUAUUUAUAUUUCAUCUUCUAAAUUAAUUAGUUUAUUUGUUUAUUUAUCUAUUUAUUUAUGUGACUCUGUAUAUGUAUGUGAUGUAAACCAUGGUAUAUGAGUAGAUUUCAGAAAAUAAAUUGAGAGGGUUGGUUUUUUUCUUCACUUUAUGGGUCCCAGGAAUUGAACUCAGGUCAUAAUGCUUGGAGGGAGGUGUCCUUUCCGACUAAGCCACUUACUUCUCCCCAGAUUUAAUUUUAAAAUAUUCAAUGUACAGAUCAACAAUAUUAGUAGUGAUAAUGCAAAAGUUAACCAUACAUAAGAAUGAAAAGAAUUAUCAUAUAAGAAGAUGGAAAUAGCAUGAGUGGUGGGGAGUGAUGCAUGGUGGACUUGGUUUAUUUUCAGGACAGAGAGAGAGCAGCCUUGCUGCCAUGAGCUCUGACAUUUGAAUGAGGAAGGUACCCCACAGUUCCAGACAUCUGAACACUUGGUCUCCAGUUGGGGGUGCUGUAUGUGAAAGUUUAAGAGGUGUGGCCUUGCUGUAAGAAAGUUGUGGAUUUGAAUUUGAGAGUUUAAGGUCUUACCCUACUUCCAGUUCACUCUGUCUGCUUCAUGCUUGUGAUUCAAGAUGUGAACACCUCCUUGGCAGGAAGUGGUGGUGCACACCUUUAAUCCCAGUGCUCAGGAGGCAGAGGCAGGUGAAUCUGUUGAGUUCGAGGCCAGCUUGGUCUACAGAGUGAUUUCUCGGAAAGCCAGGGCUGCACAGGAUGAACCCCUCACCCCCCAAAGUGAACUCUUAAAUUUUUGCUUGCUGCCAUGCCUGUUGCUUGCUGCCAU